GAUGAACGCUGGCGGCGUGCUUAACACAUGCAAGUCGAACGGAAAGGCCCUGCGUUUGUGGGGUUCUCGAGUGGCGCACGCGUGAGUAACACGUGUGUAUCCUCCCCCUGACUUUGUGAUAUCUCUACGGGACUGGGGCUCUUACAGCAUAUGAUCUCUUGCUGCACGGGGGUGGUUGGUAAGUGUCGGCGGUUGUGUAUGUACUCGAGGCUUAUGAGCUGGUUGGUGUGGUAGUUACGUACAAAGCCUUUGACGGGUAGCCGGCCUGAGAGGGUGACCGGCCACAUUGGGACUGAGAUAGGGCGCAGAAGCCUACGGGAGGCAGCAGUGGGAAAUAUUGCAGAAUGGGCGGGAGUCAGAUGCAGCAGCGCCGCGUGCGUGAUACCGGCCUACGGGUGGAAAACCGCUGUGGCCUGUGACGAAGCGUGAGUGACGGUAAUUGGUAAAGAAGCACCGGCUAACUACGUG
RNAcentral lists this ribosomal RNA (468 nucleotides) under uncultured bacterium. RNAcentral describes it as "partial 16S ribosomal RNA". It matches the Rfam family "Bacterial small subunit ribosomal RNA", at positions 28 to 507 of the family's 1533-position model. The record is from RNAcentral.